UUUAGUUUAUUGCCACACGUUCCAUACGUAUGCGGAUACGAUACCUUGGUUCAGAUAUUCAACUCGUUUUAUACAUUUGUUUUCUUCAAAACAGUACCCGUUUAUAAUGAUUUAUUUAUAUAGUAAUAACUAUGAUUAUGUAAGGGAUUUUUAAAUUGCAACUAUAUAUAUUAAUAACUAAUAUGCAUUUUUAAUUAUACAAGUAGUAGAUAGUUCUGUCAAAAAAAUACAAGUAGUAGAUAGAUGUCAUAAAAGUGCAAGAUGAAGAGGGAUAUUCGGAUACCGAUCCUUUCCCAUUAUUAUCAUCUAAUUUUCGAAUUUGUGUUUAGUUUAGUAACUAAAUAUAAGCAUUUAUGCCAUAAAUAAUUAUAUAAUUGGA
Molecule: long non-coding RNA, 379 nt
Filed under: Cicer arietinum (chickpea)
Lineage: Eukaryota; Viridiplantae; Streptophyta; Magnoliopsida; Fabales; Fabaceae
Description: long non-coding RNA (CARI_LNC000765)
Source: RNAcentral